This 463-nucleotide ribosomal RNA is filed under the name uncultured bacterium. RNAcentral's name for it is "partial 16S ribosomal RNA". It matches the Rfam family "Bacterial small subunit ribosomal RNA", at positions 339 to 795 of the family's 1533-position model. The record is from RNAcentral.
CUACGGGCCGCUGCAGUGGGGAAUAUUGCACAAUGGGCGCAAGCCUGAUGCAGCCAUGCCGCGUGUAUGAAGAAGGCCUUCGGGUUGUAAAGUACUUUCAGCGGGGAGGAAGGGAGUAAAGUUAAUACCUUUGCUCAUUGACGUUACCCGCAGAAGAAGCACCGGCUAACUCCGUGCCAGCAGCCGCGGUAAUACGGAGGGUGCAAGCGUUAAUCGGAAUUACUGGGCGUAAAGCGCACGCAGGCGGUUUGUUAAGUCAGAUGUGAAAUCCCCGGGCUCAACCUGGGAACUGCAUCUGAUACUGGCAAGCUUGAGUCUCGUAGAGGGGGGUAGAAUUCCAGGUGUAGCGGUGAAAUGCGUAGAGAUCUGGAGGAAUACCGGUGGCGAAGGCGGCCCCCUGGACGAAGACUGACGCUCAGGUGCGAAAGCGUGGGGAGCAAAUAGGAUUAGUACCCUUGUAGUC